AAUAUUGGACAAUGGGGGCAACCCUGAUCCAGCCAUGCCGCGUGUGUGAAGAAGGUCUUCGGAUUGUAAAGCACUUUAAGUUGGGAGGAAGGGCUUUAGGUUAAUACCCUGAAGUUUUGACGUUACCAUCAGAUUAAGCACCGGCUACCUCUGUGCCAGCAUCCGCGGUAAUACAGAGGGGUCAAGCGUUAAUCGGAAUUACUGGGCGUAAUGAGCGCGUAGGUGGUUCAGUAAGAUGGGUGUGAAAUCCCCGGGCUUAACCUGGGAACUGCGUGCAUAACGGCUGAGCUAGAGUAAGGUAGAGGGUAGUGGAAUUUCCUGUGUAGCGGUGAAAUGCGUAGAUAUAGGAAGGAACACCAGUGGCGAAGGCGACUACCUGGACUGAUACUGACACUGAGGUGCGAAAGCGUGGGGAGCAAAC
Molecule: ribosomal RNA, 421 nt
Filed under: uncultured bacterium
Lineage: Bacteria
Description: partial 16S ribosomal RNA
Rfam family: Bacterial small subunit ribosomal RNA
Source: RNAcentral